Molecule: long non-coding RNA, 7957 nt
Filed under: Citrus maxima (pomelo)
Lineage: Eukaryota; Viridiplantae; Streptophyta; Magnoliopsida; Sapindales; Rutaceae
Description: long non-coding RNA (CMAX_LNC001629)
Source: RNAcentral
AAGAUGGAGAACAAGAAUAAGUGAGAGGAGAACUGAAGCAAUGAAAGCCUUGGACGAUGAGAUGGCCAUGGCUAGCUUAAAUGCUAGAAACUAUUGAAAGUAGGGCUUUGAUCGGAGUAACUGAUACCUGGCUAUUUGAAAACCUAAAUUCUUCUUUUUAUUUUUGGUGCAAAAAUGAGAGCAAAGAUGUGGGUAUUUAUAGCGUAAAUAUCAGAUGGAAAGACAGGAGAGCUUGCAAUAAAUUAUAAGAGAUAAGAAGGCCAGGACUGGGAAGGUGCAUGCGUGUUAAUUAAGGAGAUUCUCAUGGUUUAAUUUUGUACGCUUACUAAGCUUUUUCCAAAAAAUGGAAAAAAGUCAUGGGCCUAUGGACAUAUAUGAUAUAAUCACUCGUCAUGAUUAUCUGGCGAAGAAAUGCCAUUUGGAAUCGUUCGGAGAUAAGCUAGCAUGUUUUAUUGCAUGGCAACUUUGCUUUUUCAUUUAUCUCUUGGCUUAAUUUUAAUUGAAGUGUACAGUACAAGAGAUAGGGAAAACAUUUUCCAUGAAACCUUAACACAGUCUCAUCGUUAACAUGGAUAACUCGGGCUUUAGUUGGACUACUUUGACUGUUUGACUCGAUUUCUUAAUUAGCUGUUUAAUUAAUUUACGAUAAAUUAUAUGUUGUCAGAGUCAGCCAAUAUCCUCCCACAUUUUCAUCAAUCUUCAUAGUAUUUAUCACAUUAAAUCAUCCAAGGAGAACUUGAAUACUUAAUUAGUAGUAAUCACCCAGCCGAUAAGUUUAAAAUGAAAAGAGAAUGGCAAUAAUUGAAGAGUUCGUAUUUAAUGUACUUUAAUUAUAGUCGCUGUGCCCAACUUCACAUCGCCUUUUCUGCAUUAUUUAGUACAUAUAUUAAAAUCCAUUUUCUUUUUUAUUUCUCGCACAACAAUAUAUUCCUUCUGCUACUUACCUAACCCAUCCAACUGGAGUCCAUACGACCAAACAAAUUAUUUAUGAAUUUAAUCAAAUCCAAACACGGGAAAUAAUUAGAGCUGGCUCCGCUACUUAUUACUCACAAAUUAAAAUUGGAAUAAUGCCUACCUAGUUCAUUAUCAUUUAUUAGUGCAGGCCUUUCUAGGGUUUUAGGUUUGUUGAGGGAUUCCGCGGUUUGCCAGCCAAGACUCAUAAUUAUUUGUAUAUCCUUAUGAUAAAGAAUAAUGAUAUGCUUAACAAAAUUUGUAUCUCAAAUAAUGUGUAUCACGUGGUAAUAGAUAAUUUCUUAUAUCAUAAGUUUGAUACUCAUUAAUUGAGGGAUGUUCACUCUAUUUCUCCACUCAAUUAUUUUAUAAUUGAAGAAGGACUUCAACUAACCCUCAUAAUACUUUUAUGAAAACUCAAAACUUUACUCUUACACAUUGUGAGUGCAAAAACUCUUACACUAGACCAAAGACCAAUUGAUAUAGUUAUUGAUGAACUUAAAACAUUAAAAUUACACAAUUGUUAUAACGUUUAAAAUGUGCAAUUAAUCUUAUUAAUUAUAUAGUUUAUAUUUGUAAGAAUUAUUACAGAUCAGUAAUUUCCUUUCUUAUAGUACAAGCUAAUAUUAGCGUUAUUACUAAUUAGUGACACACCAGGAAAACAAAAGCAGAUUGAUAGGAUAAAUGAACACCACAUAUCGUUCUAGGAAAGCUUAAGUGAACUUAAUUAGGUUACAUUCUAAUCAAAACAUUAUUAGAUUUCAUUCUAAUAUAAACAACUCAAUGAGAUUUUGAUAAUGCUUUGCAGCAAGAUUAGACGAUGUUAUAAUCCAAAUGACUCGAUAUGAGAGAUUUUGAUAGAUAAUUCCAAAAGAAAUUAUAAAAGAGGAGCUUUUAUUAAUCAAAAAUUUAUUCUAAAACAAUGACAAUACCUUUUUAUUUAUAAUAAAGUAAACAUACUUUUCUAAGUUAACUUAAAUAAGAAAACUAUAUCACAAUAAUAUUGAAAAUAAAAAACCUAAAACAAAUAUCAUAAUUGCCUCAAAUUAAAAGGAAAAAUAAAAAAGGACCUAAAAUAAUAAACUCUAGAAUCUUCUAGAUACGUUCUAUAUCAUUCUCCCCCUUUUAAAACAAACCCGUCCUCAAGUUCCUCCGGAUGAUAAACUUGAAGUGAAGCAUCAAUGCAUCCUAGAUCUUGAACUUGUAGCUUGUUUCAUCAAUUUUCCUUGAAGCUUGAAAAUCUUCAUGCUUUAUUUUCUUCUUUAUCUCGUUAGUUACUCUAAAAAUAGGUGAAAUUUUAUGAGAACGAAUCAUUUCUAUACCUCUCAAGUCUUUUGCUUAACUCACUCAAUGUACUCAAUUAUUAUCUUUUAUCUAGAAGGGCAAAUUCUCUUCUAAGAGUAAACUUCUUGUCUUCAAUGUGAGAGGCAUAAUCAUUUCAAUUAUUGUUGGGGUCUCUUCAACUUGACUUUACUGCACAAAUUCGAUUAUAUUAUUAAACUCAAUGUUUAAAUUAAUAAUAGAUUAUACAUCUUCUUUAAAAAUCUUAAAUCGAUCAAUAAUCUUAUCGCGAUCGUUAUCUUUUACUUUUAUUAAUUUUAAAAGAGAUGGUUCGACAUCAUUAUAGUAAAAAAAAAAAAAACCUAUCUUCCAUCAAUUGCCUUAUAUCAAACUAUUCAUUUAUUUAUUUUAUCUUUGUUUAAUCCUUAAUUCUUGUAGUUGCUUCUACUAAUCUAAAGUAUCACCUAUCAAUUUAAAUGAUACAUGGGAGAUAGUAACUUUCGACAAGACAUUUUCAAGAAAAUCUUCCAUCAUCCAAAUUCAGUAAAACAUAUCACCAUGUUAUGAUCAAAAUCUGGGACAUCUUUUGAUUCAAGGAGACAAUGCAACACUUAAUAUUCUGUCUUUAUCAUUCUUUUUCAAAUUAAAAAUAAAAUCAAUAACAAAACUAUAAAUAUCCUUAACUCUUAGCUAUAGGUAUUGCCAGCGCGUCUGGUGGCCAUGAUUUAGAGUCAUGAGGGUUAGAUCUAGUAGAUAUGAUGGCAAGGAAUGCAACAAUGGCUACAGAUUGAUCAGAAUCGCAGUGGUUUGGUCAGAAAAGGAACUUGUGUUGGUGACGACUUAUGUUAGUUUGGCAGCGGUUCUCGAUUGAAUUUGGACGAUGGCACUUAGGAUCUGUUUAGUGGCUUGAGGGGAGGUGGACAAUGGUGACGACUGACAGAAACCUGUGGAGGUUUUACGGCAAUGAACCGGUAGAUCGCUUGCAGGUUUGGGUGAUUUGCUGCGGUUCUAGUGGCAGCUACUGACUCAAUUGUGUGAAGUGAGGUGAUGGUAGCGGUGACAAUGGUGGUAGGUGUGGGAUUUGUUGUGUUUUUUAAUUUUUUUUUUUUAUUUAUAUAAAUGGCGAUGGAGGAUCGUGGUGGAUGGAUAUGAUAGUCCAAAAAGUCGUGAUGCCACAGUUUUGCUUGAUACAAAAAAUGAUGUAGUGGGGUAGUUAAGAAAUGAAUUGAAAGGAUAAAUGAAAACUAGAUAGGGCGACCAAAAGCGAAUACGAUUUGGUUACAUUUUAAUUGAAGUCUGAUUAGAUCUUGUUAUAACUUAGAUAACUUAAGGAGAUUCAGGUAAGGUUUUAUAGCAAAAUUAGAUGAUGUUUUAAUUUAAAUGAUUUUAUGAGAGAGAUUUUGAUAAAUAAUUCUAAAAAAAUUAUAAUGAAGAACUUUUAUUAAUCAAAAUAUUAUCUUAAAAUAAUAACAAUACCUCCCUAUUGAUAGUUGGGUAAACUUACUUCUCCAAAUUAACUCAAAUAAGAAAAUUAAAUCACAAUAAUAUUGAAAAUAAAAAACUUAAACUAAUUAUGACUCAAAUUAAAAAAGAAAAUAACAAAAAGACCAAAAAAAAAAAAACUCCAGAAUCUCAAUUAAUAUGAAACAAAGUUAUGAAAGAGUACCAACAAAGUGUUGGCUCCACUGGCAAUGGAGUCCCCUUAAGUGGCUUGACUGAGUUUGCUCCCCAGUUCGAGUCGCAGGGAAGUCGCCUUUGUUGGGAGAACCUGUGCUUAUCGGUUCGAGUGGGGACUUCUAGUCUGGGUUGUGGUACGGGCUUAAAGGUGUCUCCCACAGUUGGGGCCCUCCCCAAGAUACCUCGUUGUCGAAACUAAAAAAAAAAAAAAAGUUAUGAAAGAGUCGUCUCUAUGUAAAAUACAUGCACAAUCUGAAUUCUUUUGCACCAUUUUACUUUGCGUAGAUAAUUUUAUAUAGCACUCAAUUACCAUAAAGACUUUGGUAUUUUCUUCUGAUAAUCAUGAUCGUCAAAACAAAGCAACAAUAGCUUUUAGAUCAUCUCUUAUGCUCAAUGAGUAUAGUUUUCACCGCACGAGACGAUGACUCUUUGAUUUUAGAACCACAACAUUUGCUUGAUUCUCCAAAUAGCAUAGAUUUAUCUUUACUUGUCUGUUGCUAUAAAUCUUUAUCUUUACAGUGUAUGUACAAUGUACGUGCAAUAAAAUAUGUUCUGUAUAAUUAAUUAUAACCAUUUAGUGUGAGUUCAUAAUAUCUUUCAACUCCGAAUACCUUAGAUUUUUCUUGAAAAAGAAAAAAGAAAAAAGAAAGAAAAAUAAUGUUUUAUUACAAAUUAAUUUUAAAUAUUGACACUGGGCUAGUGUACUUGUGCCGAGGAGAGGGCAUCCGUUCAAGUUUCAGUAGUGUAUGUUACAGUAAUAGAACAUAAUGAUAAUAUGAUAAAAGAUAUUUAAAUUGUGUUCUAAUAAAAAUAAUUUAUAGGUUAGUUUUAAACAUUUAGUAGAUUUUUAAUCGUAUUAUUGGUAUUUAAAAAAGAAAGUCAAUGCCACUUCGGCCUUGGUCGGAGUGGUGGGCUGCUGUCCUCACAAGCACAAAAGUAUUUGUGGGGGCUAACGUGCUUAUUUGUUUAAUAUUUUAAAAAUUUCCUCUCCCUCGUACAAUACGAGUGGAGUAUGGACAUUCCUCUUCUGUAAGGAAUUAUUUGUCUGGGCAUGUACUUCACAGAAUUCAAUGUAAUAAUAUAAGUCCUAAUCAUGUAUUUCUGAUUGUAAAUAUCAAUGUAAUAUAUCUAGUAUAAUAGCAGUUGUAAAUAUCUGUGUAAUACAGUAAUAUGAUGAUUAAUCAGUAUUAAAAAAAAAAGUCAAUUAAAUAUCUUCCAAUUAUUAAGUACGAUUUUUUAUUUUUUUUUUGUUUUAUUGGAGGAAUAAUGAGAGUACGAUCGAAGACAGGCAGCGGAAAUUGCCAACUUAUUUAGGUCACAGAGAUACUAAGCCACACGUGCCCUAAGGGGAAGUGAUUGGUUUUGAAGCUCAAAAGCUUUUGGAGACAGAGUUGGACUUGACGGAAAUGAUAAAACUCAUUACGAAGUAGACUUAGACCCACACAGGCCUCACAGCUGUGCAAAAGUGAACCACAGCUGUACUCUGCUCAUGCAGUUAAAUCAAUGCAAGAUAUUUAGGAUAAGCACAAGAGGCGGAACAGACAUCUAAAUAAUUAAUCUCAAUCAACUUUUAAUAUAGUUAAGACCUUAAUUAAUAUAUAUUGAGGUGGUAUAAUUUUUGAAUUACAAUUGUUAUAGAAAAAAUUAUAAUUAUAAAAUAAAAAUUAAUAUUAUAUAGUAAAUAAAAUUUUUAAAUAAUAAUUUUGAUAAAAUUAAUAAAAAUAUAAUAAAUUUUUUAUCAUAUAAAUAUAAAAUUAAAUUAAUUUAGUUUUUAAAUUAUAACCGUUAGUGUUUACAAAGCGUUUUAAUAUUGUCCAAUUUCAAUCCCAAACGAGAUCUAAGAUUAUAAAUAUUUGUUAAACACUAUAAUAUUGUGUGUUAUAAAAUUGGAAUAAGAAUGGGCUGAAAUUGUAAUGGAGAAUGAGAAUCAGAAUAAGUUAUUUACUUAAACUGUAGGAAUUGGAAUCCGAAUAAGUUGAAUUACCAUUAAUGUGUUUAUUUUAUCUUAGAAUUGAAAUCAAAAUAAAUUAAAUUGUUACAAAUUAUUAAAAAGUCCUCAAUAAUAAUGACAAUAAUAUUCUAAAAUUAAUAUUUAGGUAAUUUAAGAAUAAUAAUAAAAUUCACAAGUCCCUUAGAAAUCAAACUAUCAUUUUCCAUUCUCUAAUUUGAGUAGGGUCCACAAUUUUAAUUUUAAUUAUUUCUUUUAUUUUAUAAAAUAAACGCUGUCUGAUUUAUUAAUUUGUGAAAUAAAAAUUGCCUAAAAUUAUAUGGCUCAACUAGACACCGAUUCGAAAAUGUAGACCUUAAACCUUUGAAGCAGUUUUUAAGUAGAUGUGAAAAUCAAAUGAAAUUUUUGCUUCAGUUUGGUUUCAUCGUUUACCAUCUUAUCUCCACAAAAAGUCUACUUAUAGUUAUGCAACAACGUAAUGUUUCCGAGACAUCUUUUUUAAUAUUUACCAAGGCGGCCAAUUAAAAAUUGACGUGGGAAUUAGAAGUGUUACCAGUCCCAAAAAAUCCUCAUCAAACCCAUUUAUUUAAAAAUUAAAAUACCCUACUAGUAAUUCACAAAAUAAUAUAUUAUUUCUUAACUCACAUAUUUUGAUUAAAAAAAAAAAAAAAAAAAACUCCGUCUACACCCAUACUUAAGUCUCAACUCAUCCCUCUUCCCACUUUCUCUCUUUUCUUUUUCUCAGUUUCAUUUUUUUUGUUCAUACGAAUAAUUUGUUCACCACAAAUAAUCAACCUCUCACAUUCUCGAUUUAACAUCCCAUAUGUUUUCCUCGUUCACUUGCUCUUGAAAAGACAAGAAAAAACAAAUUAGCAUUGUAAAUAUCUACGAAUUGCACUAAUCCUGUAUUUUCAUACGGAGAUUAAUUAAUGAUAAUAUUAUAUUUGUUAGAGAACUAGUUUUCUUCUUUUCUUCGUCUUCUUUAUGUUUCCUCCCUUUUCCUGCCGCCAACACCCACAGAAAAGUUUGUGACAGCAUAUGAACAUUCAAACAUGACCAAAAAUAGAAUAAAAUCCAAUAUUAAACCUAUGAAGAAAAAUGGAAGGAAAAAACUGUAAUUAUCAAAUUUUAAGCAUGAUAAUAUGAUGCGUUGAGAUUUCAUCUUACUUAAGAAGAGAUGAAGAAGAAACUUUAAUAAGAAUUGAGAAACCUUACUAAGUAUUCCACUUAAUUUAUCCUGAUGAAGGAAGAGACAAAAAGUUAGGAAUGGAUAAUGAAUUAUUGAUUUGAUUUUAUUUGUUUUUGUUUCAAAAUUAUACGAAUGAUCGAUGCUGUAUUGAUACAAGCGCGAACUGAUGGCCAUCCUCAAAGAGAGAGACAAUCGGUCAAAACUUAAGAUUUUUAAUAAAGUGAUUUCUCUGAAUCUUCUGUUUUCAUUGUCGUUUUAUGCAAAUUUUGAAGAGGGACAAAUUAACUGAAACUAAAUCAAAGGGAUUUUACGAGCGGUGACGAUAGCAGUACAGCAAACCACUCGGCAUUGUUGUUAGAAGAUAACAAACACGACACAAAGUAGACAAUUUUAAAAAGGAGAAGAAGCCUCUUAUUAUUAUUCUCUGGAAACUUAUGUAUCCACAAUAAGUAACAUGAAAUGGGUUUAUUUAUUUAUUCAUGGGAAUAUGGAUCAACUCUGUUUUUCUGGCCACAGGCAACACACGCACACGCACAUAUUUAUACAUGGAGAGAGAGAGAGAGAGAGAGAAUAGAAGUUCCAAAAAACUUAAUUAAGAAGUAGACGACGUCGUUUCAACUUAAAAUAUUUCAAGGGCACUUGUGUCUGCCGUGGUGGGUGGUCAUAUUGGCGUAGCAAGGGCAGACCUCAGUGUUGCCUGCAGUGCCUGGAGGAACACAAUUGCAGCGGGCGCAGCAGGUACCACAUGCCCUGUGGCACAGGUUUGGCCUCGACGAUAAUCGGCACCUGGCCUGGCAUGCACCUCCACAGUCUGAUUGAUUAGAAAAAAAAUAAAUAAAUAAAAUCAGAUUAAUCAGCUGUACAUGAACAUUAAUUUAAUCGAAGCAAACAGAAACAGAAGUAUUAAUUUG